GAGUAGCUGGGAUUACAGGCACCCGCCACCAAGCCCGGUUUCAAUACAACAACUGCCCGACCUUCCUUACUGUCAGAGACCAGCAACCACAGAGCGGUUCCGGCUGGUCUGUGGAGGAUGUACAGUGAGGGUCUUCGUGUCCUCUGCUUCACCUUUUGAUCAGAAGGCUGAAUACUCCAUCAGUGGAUCAUGACUCUCUUCCAACCCGGGGAUCUGGUGGUAAGCAAAAUGAUAUUCCAGCAAGUGAUGCCCCUAAUCUCCUAAGGAUAUAAGCUCUCCCAAGACGGUGAGCUCAGCGGAGGCCCCCAGAGAAACAUGCUAUGCGGGAGGAGAGUUUCCCCAUAAGACAGACCGUCCUUCAGCCCCGGCCACCAAAGAGGAGCAACACGGGCCUGCUGUUCUCCAGGACUGAAUGCGGCUGCAUCCUUCCCUUCCUCUGCUUCCUGCUCCCGUACCUACUGAUGGUGCACACGUGGGGCCUGGGGAAGCUGGGUAUCUAACCCACAGUGCAGCUACGGAUGGGAAAUUCUGGGCAGGGACGAGCCUGUCUUCCCCCGGGGAAUUCCCUCCCAUGUUGCACAGGGCAGAGUGGGAGUGGAGGAGGGCAGAGGACAUGUCUCAGGGCCAGUAACCUAGGCUUACAGAAGACGUCAUCACUGUCCUCAUGACGUUCACCCUGUCUCCUGUUUUUUGGGGCCAUGUAUUCCGAAAUGUAUUUUCAACUCAUCACAGGGGCAAAAAGAAGUGAUGAGUCUGUGGCAGCAGAAAUCUGGGAAUCCAAGGGUCAUGCUACAUCUAGUCCUCUUUGGUAAAUUCUGCCUUCCUGUUCACACUUUUCGAGAAACCAUUUUGAAUUCCCAAACAGCAAAGGAAAUGCUGCAGGUUCCUGGAGGGACCUGGUGAUCCGGGGCAGAGCACACAGAGUCGAGAUUGCUGUGGGGUUCACGGGCCUCCCCUCCCGGGACCAGGGGCACCUGGGCAGGGGAGUCUGCACCAUGCGGGAAAGCCCAGUACACGCAGCUGCUCACCACUGCAGACUCCACAGUGCAGGGCUGACAAGGCCUCCCUCUUUAUCUGCCCUGGACCACAAGUGGAAAAGAUGAAGACAAAGCAAAAGCCAAUAUCCCUUAAGAACUUUCCAAUUGUUCUUGUCAUGUGUCGUUUUGUGUUUUUGGGGGUGUGGGGAGGGAUGGUGGUUUGAAACAGCUCCGAAGUGCACUCCAGAGGAAAGCAGGAGGGGUGACAUGUGUGGACACCUGAAAAGAGGAAGGGUCCUCAUGAAGAGGGUCACUUAGUUAAAAAGUUCAAGCACAGAGGAUAUAGAACCAGGUGGAUAUAAUCAGAGAACAAGAUGCAGAUCUAGCGAGAUGGGUCCCACCACCCCUGGAAUAUGUUCCUGGCAGAGGGGCUGGUCCGCUACAGUGGGCUGGGAAUGGUAACAUUGUAUACUUUUGUAAAUUCACAAAACCCUCUGGUCAGCAACAGAGGAAUAAAGGGCAGAGAAUAAACCC
Macaca fascicularis (crab-eating macaque) is the source of this 1511-nucleotide long non-coding RNA. The record is from Ensembl. Lineage: Eukaryota; Metazoa; Chordata; Mammalia; Primates; Cercopithecidae.